This 1836-nucleotide long non-coding RNA is filed under the name Homo sapiens (human). RNAcentral describes it as "HSALNT0128622". Lineage: Eukaryota; Metazoa; Chordata; Mammalia; Primates; Hominidae. The record is from RNAcentral.
UGAUAUCCCUAUAAACACAGCUUGAUCAGUUAACUAGUUCAAUCAAGGAUGGGUGGGAGGACUCACAGGCUGGAGCAGAGAGGCGGCCAGUUUCAAGUGAUGCCCAUUCUGGGCUUCCCAAUCCAGUUUUCUCUGAGCUGUUUUCUGUAGUUGGGUUUUCUACAGUGAACAUAAACUGUCAACCUCUGCUCAGAGAGUCAUGACAGCAGAGGCAUGGAGACCAGCAGAAUGACCUCACCUCCACCUUCUCCCCUAGUGUAAACACUUGACCCAUGGCUACUACCUAAUCCACAAAGGGGAAAGGAAGGCAGGUGCCUGUGGACCACAUUUCCUAUGGAAAUGCUAUAAACAGGAGUGUCCUGGCUAACUGGCUCUCUGGUGGGGAUGGGGGAUGGGGGAUGGGGGAUGGGGGCAGUGGGCAGGGAUGAAGAGUUACCCUGAUGUGUAGCCUUUCCCAAGUUUUGUGGUAUAAGUAAUCUUACCAUAGAUGUCAAACUGCUAACAGAUCAGUAACCUGCUGACAAUAUUCCUGAACAUUUAACUAUUGACUCUGGAAAGCCAGAUAAUAAUUUAAUGAGUUCUUUUUCAGGAGCUGUUUUUGUUUUUGAGAGAAUCCUGUGAACUAAGAGGGAACUCUACUGAAGGAAUGUCAAGCAUAAAACCUAUAAUCAAAUCCUCUCUUCAUGGAGCUUAUAGUCCAGCUGCAAGUUCAGCAACAUGCAAUACAGAAGCAAGAAUCACUUGCUUAUAAGGUAUAAAUGGAGUGUCAUCUUUUCAAGGAGAGAGAAACAGAUGCCCUUUGAGAAGGGGAGACGGAAGGGGAAGGAAAGUUCUGAAGGCAGAGGUGUCCAGAGAAGCCGAAGCAUGCAAUGGGAGGCACAGGAGUGAGAGUGAACUUCAAUAGACACACACUGACCCAAAAGAGUUGUGCAUCAAAGACACAUUCUGAUAACUCUGCAACUUUUGCAGAGAGCCGAUGACGUUCUAAUUGUAACAUUUCCCUUUUUACUUUUUCUUCCUUGGUGAAUGGUGGUAGACCUAUUGAUUACACCAUAAAGAUAAGAGGGAAAAGAAGGAAUGACUGCUUUUCUCAUAUAAUUAUCUUUUUAAAGUCCUUGUCCUGGUUUGCACACUCAAAAAGGAACACAGAAUUUGCAAUUAUAGGGAAGUUAUUUCUGAGCAUAAUUAAAUGCUCUCCAUCUUUCUCUCACACAAAAGCUUGCAAAUUCCAAGCUAGUAGAUUUUUGAAUCCUAUCAAUCAUUUCUAUUUUUAAAUUAUAUUCCAGAUUUAUUAUAUGAUAUACUAAUUAUAAUACAAUAUUUGCAAUAAUGAAAAUGUAUUUGAAUAGUCAAUUGGAACCCACAAGUCAACUCCUAGAUAGAUGCCUUAGUGGCUCUGAAAGGUGGUCCCCACUUGGGAUUUGUUAAAAUGCAAACACCUGGGCCCCACUCUGGGUGUACAGAAUCAGAAAUUCAGGGAGUGAAACUCAACAGUCUUUUUAAUAAGCCCUCCAGUUGAUUCUGAUACAUGUUAAGAUUGAGAACCACUUCUUCAGCAGUGUUUCCCAACCUUUUCCCUUCGUGGCAAAAAAAAAACCUGCACACGUACCCUGAACCUAAAAUAAAAGUUUAAACAAAAGAGAAAAUGAUGGCAUUUGUACAAUACCCCAUGUUAAGUGGAUAAGGCUGCCAGAGGCUUGCCCCAGACCCUAUUUGUGUUGGCCUGAGCAGCUCACCGUAACCUUUUCAUGAUCCACCAGCAGAAAAACUCAGAUCUGAAGAAACUCACACCAGUGCAAAAACAACUAUAUAUACAUUCUUUUUGUUAAUUAUGGC